AUGCAAGUCGAACGGGGCAGAGUGAUAGCUUGCUAUUAUGAUGCUUAGUGGCAAACGGGUGAGUAACGCGUAGGCAACCUGCCCUCCGGAUGGGGACAACACUCCGAAAGGGGUGCUAAUACCGAAUGAAGUAUUCCGGUCACAUGACCGGAAUACCAAAGGCCGGGCAACCGGCCACCGGGGGAUGGGCCUGCGUCUGAUUAGCUGGUUGGCGGGGUAACGGCCCACCAAGGCGACGAUCAGUAGCCGGUCUGAGAGGAUGAACGGCCACAUUGGGACUGAGACACGGCCCAAACUCCUACGGGAGGCAGCAGUGGAGAAUCUUCCGCAAUGGGCGCAAGCCUGACGGAGCAACGCCGCGUGAGUGAAGAAGGUUUUCGGAUCGUAAAGCUCUGUUGAGAGGGACGAGAGAUGUGCUUAGGAAAUGAGGCGCAGAGGACGGUACCUUUCGAGGAAGCCACGGCUAACUACGUGCCAGCAGCCGCGGUAAUACGUAGGUGGCGAGCGUUGUCCGGAAUUAUUGGGCGUAAAGGGAGCGCAGGUGGGAUAGUAAGUCAGUCUUAAAAGUUCGGGGCUUAACCCCGUGAUGGGAUUGAAACUAUUAUUCUUGAGUGCAGGAGAGGAAAGCGGAAUUCCUAGUGUAGCGGUGAAAUGCGUAGAUAUUAGGAGGAACACCAGUGGCGAAGGCGGCCUUCUGGACUGUAACUGACACUGAGGCUCGAAAGCGUGGGGAGCGAACAGGAUUAGAUACCCUGGUAGUCCACGCCGUAAACGAUGGAUACUAGGUGUAGGAGGUAUCGACCCCUUCUGUGCCGGAGUUAACGCAAUAAGUAUCCCGCCUGGGGAGUACGGUCGCAAGACUGCAACUCAAAUGAAUUGACGGA
Molecule: ribosomal RNA, 884 nt
Filed under: uncultured Bacillota bacterium
Lineage: Bacteria; Bacillati; Bacillota
Description: bacterial SSU rRNA
Rfam family: Bacterial small subunit ribosomal RNA
Source: RNAcentral